GUCCCAAAGAAUUCACUUCAGUCUUCUACUGUCUUCAAGAUUGGAGGGUAAGUAUAAUGAUCAUCUUUCAUCUUUGCACUAAUUCGUUACGUUGGCUCAGGAAAAGGUGUACCUAACACAACUUGAUCGAACUUUAUGCAGGGUAUCUUUGAAAGAUUUGACAGGGAUAGGAGUGGAAGAAUCGAUUCAUGUGAAUUGAGGGACGCGUUACUUAGCAUGGGAUAUUCUGU
This 230-nucleotide long non-coding RNA is filed under the name Capsicum annuum. RNAcentral's name for it is "long non-coding RNA (CANN_LNC016604)". Lineage: Eukaryota; Viridiplantae; Streptophyta; Magnoliopsida; Solanales; Solanaceae. The record is from RNAcentral.